This 103-nucleotide ribosomal RNA is filed under the name Pogona vitticeps (central bearded dragon). The record is from RNAcentral. Lineage: Eukaryota; Metazoa; Chordata; Lepidosauria; Squamata; Agamidae.
CUUAGCAGGCUGACUACUUCUGAUUCUGGAAGCUAAGCAGAAUCAGGCCUAAUUAGUACUUGGAUGUGAGACCACCAAGGGAAAACCAGGGACUUGACUUGGC